GAUGAACGCUGGCGGCGUGCCUAAUACAUGCAAGUCGAGCGAAAAGACGAGGAGCUUGCUCCUCUGUCGUUAGCGGCGGACGGGUGAGUAACACGUGUAUACCCUACCUAUAAGACUGGGAUAACUUCGGGAAACCGGAGCUAAUACCGUAUAACAUGCUGAACCACAUGGUUCGACAGUAAAAGACGGUCUUGCUGUCACUACUAGAUGCAUCUGGGCCGCAUUAGCUAGUUGGUAAGGUAAAGGCUUACCAAGGCAACCAUGCGUAGCCGACCUGAGAGGGUGGUCGCCCACACUGGAACUGAGACACGGUCCAGACUCCUGCGGGAGGCAGCAGUAGGGAAUCGUCCGCAAUGGUCGAAAGCCUUACGGAGCAACGCCGAGUGUGUGAAAAAGGUCUUCGGAGCGGAAAACUCGGUUAUUGGGGAAGAACAGAUUUGUAAGGAACUAUGCACGUCGUGACGGUACCUAAUCAGAAAGCCACGGCUAACUACGUG
Molecule: ribosomal RNA, 497 nt
Filed under: uncultured bacterium
Lineage: Bacteria
Description: partial 16S ribosomal RNA
Rfam family: Bacterial small subunit ribosomal RNA
Source: RNAcentral